AUACGGAGGGUGCAAGCGUUAAUCGGAAUUACUGGGCGUAAAGCGUACGUAGGCGGUUCGUUAAGUUAGAUGUGAAAGCCCCGGGCUUAACCUGGGAACUGCAUUUAAAACUGGCGAACUAGAGUUGAGUAGAGGCGAGUGGAAUUUCAGGUGUAGCGGUGAAAUGCGUAGAGAUCUGAAGGAACACCAGUGGCGAAGGCGACUCCCUGGACUCGAACUGACGCUGAGGUACGAAAGCGUGGGUAGCAAACGGGAGUAGAAACCCUAGUAGUCC
Molecule: ribosomal RNA, 274 nt
Filed under: uncultured bacterium
Lineage: Bacteria
Description: partial 16S ribosomal RNA
Rfam family: Bacterial small subunit ribosomal RNA
Source: RNAcentral